This 301-nucleotide ribosomal RNA is filed under the name uncultured bacterium. RNAcentral's name for it is "partial 16S ribosomal RNA". It matches the Rfam family "Bacterial small subunit ribosomal RNA", at positions 509 to 807 of the family's 1533-position model. The record is from RNAcentral.
CAGCAGCCGCGGUAAUACGGAGGGUGCAAGCGUUAUCCGGAUUUAUUGGGUUUAAAGGGUCCGUAGGCGGAUCUGUAAGUCAGUGGUGAAAUCUCACAGCUUAACUGUGAAACUGCCAUUGAUACUGCAGGUCUUGAGUAAAUUUGAAGUGGCUGGAAUAAGUAGUGUAGCGGUGAAAUGCAUAGAUAUUACUUAGAACACCAAUUGCGAAGGCAGGUCACUAAGAUUUAACUGACGCUGAUGGACGAAAGCGUGGGGAGCGAACAGGAUCAGAUACCCCUGUAGUCCCUGUCUCUUAUAC